AGUGGCGGACGGGUGAGUAACGCGUGAGAAUCUGCCUUGGGGUCGGGGACAACCACUGGAAACGGUGGCUAAUACCGGAUAAGCCGAUUGGUGAAAGAUUUAUUGCCCGAAGAGGAGCUCGCGUCUGAUUAGCUAGUUGGUGAGGUAAGAGCUCACCAAGGCAGCGAUCAGUAGCUGGUCUGAGAGGACGAUCAGCCACACUGGGACUGAGACACGGCCCAGACUCCUACGGGAGGCAGCAGUGGGGAAUUUUCCGCAAUGGGCGAAAGCCUGACGGAGCAAGACCGCGUGAGGGAGUAAGGCUCUUGGGUUGUAAACCUCUUUUCUCAGGGAAGAAGCUCUGACGGUACCUGAGGAAUCAGCCUCGGCUAACUCCGUGCCAGCAGCCGCGGUAAUACGGAGGAGGCAAGCGUUAUCCGGAAUUAUUGGGCGUAAAGCGUCCGCAGGUGGCGAUUCAAGUCUGCUGUCAAAGCACGGGGCUUAACUCCGUAAAGGCAGUGGAAACUGAAUAGCUAGAGUGCCGUAGGGGUAGAGGGAAUUCCCGGUGUAGCGGUGAAAUGCGUAGAGAUCGGGAAGAACAUCGGUGGCGAAAGCGCUCUACUGGACGGCAACUGACACUCAGGGACGAAAGCUAGGGGAGCGAAUGGGAUUAGAUACCCC
This 660-nucleotide ribosomal RNA is filed under the name uncultured bacterium. RNAcentral's name for it is "bacterial SSU rRNA". It matches the Rfam family "Bacterial small subunit ribosomal RNA", at positions 94 to 788 of the family's 1533-position model. The record is from RNAcentral.